Oncorhynchus nerka (sockeye salmon) is the source of this 4333-nucleotide long non-coding RNA. RefSeq lists it as uncharacterized. Lineage: Eukaryota; Metazoa; Chordata; Actinopteri; Salmoniformes; Salmonidae. The transcript is spliced from 5 exons. The record is from RefSeq and is a predicted model, not a curated record.
ACCAAAUGGACGAAAGAUUAUUUUAGGGCUACGAUGCUUUUGGGAAACAGCCCAGGUUGACACACCGCCUGCCUGAACAGAGACCAAAUAAAGCUUGAACAGACAGAAUAACCAUUUCACCCCUUAAACUACAGUACGCUUUAACCCAUUACUUAUCAUAUAAAUAUAGAUCUUAUUGCCAAAACAUGUGCACUGUGUAACUUUAAUACACAAAAAGAAUGAUUAAUAGAGUGAAACUAGCGGCAGAAAACAAAUGGUUGCCAUGCCAAAAACCGGUAGAUUGUUCAUGGGGCCCUGUUAGCUCUUAAUCAUGACUUGGUUAAAUUACAUUGCACACAAAUCAUUGGAUGAAGCAAGGGGGAGUUGUGAAGCUAGGUCUGAACAUUAAAGGAAAAUUCCACCCAAAACUAUUUUGGUAUGCAUAAUUAGUCCAUUGUUGAGUCCCAACAUGCUUUGCUUGUCAACAAUGGACUAAUGAUACAGUUUUUGGGUGGAGUUCUCUUUUUAACAAGGAAACCCCUAUGGGACUCCCGAGUGGCGCAACGAUCUAAAGCUCUGCAUCUCAGUGCUAGAGGCGUCACUAUAGACCCUGGUUCAAUUCCAGGCCGUAUCACUUGCUCUGAGACCUUGAAGUAGUAGUUCCCCUUGCUCUGCAAGGGCCGUGGCUUUUGUGGAGCGAUGGGUAACGAUGCUUCGUGGGGUGACUGUUGUUGAUGUGUGCAGAGGGUCCCUGGUUCGCGCCCGGGUAUGGGCGAGGGGACGGUCUAAAGUUAUACUGUUACACACGCAUCGUUCUUACUCUUCUCAACGAGCAGCGAGUGCUGCCGUGGGCCCAACCCCUGUCCCAAAGCACUCACAGGUGGCCCAGUCCUCGCACAGCAGUCCCUCCCAGCUGCAGUCAGAGCAGGAGAUGUUCACCCCUCCACGUCCAGACUGCAAAUGAAUCGCGCAUGCGGGAAGCCGGUGCUGGCUGAUGUAAAUGUAAAAUGUUCUUUGUCUAAAAUAAAUCACUGCAUUUGACUCACACAGCCUCAGUCACUUACCUUGUCUACUAUGUGUGUGUCUCUCUGUGACAUAUUCUAAACAUCUAGCUGGCUAGCUCAUCAUGUCUCAGUCUAAACUGUACACUCAAAAAUACAGAAAGGAGUGGGAAUCAAACCCUGAAUUCAAAGGCUGGUUGAAGCCGUUUAUUGGAGAUGAUACACGGGCAUACUGCCUGUAAACUUGUAUGUAAAGAAAAAAAACACAUGACAACUCAAAAACAUACUCAAAUAAAGGCAAAGCCUUAUAACAGUUCCACCCAAAACAAGCUGCCAUUUAUGGUUAAAAACAUUACUCUGCAAAAAAGGCUGAGGCCACCAUGACAUUAGCUAUCACUGAACACUUCCAUGCUGGCAUGUGAUCACAUUGGAGAAGCAUGUAGAGCUGCUUUCUCAGACUCCACUGCUGCUACCCACUUCAAAAUGCACAGGACAAAGUGCACAGAAAUGAUUAAUGGUGUUCUAGCACCAUACUUUCUGAAAAAGUUGGUCGCAGAUGUGGGUGACCAGCGUUUCAGCCUCCUUCUCGAUGACUCCACGGAAGUAAGUGUUUCUAAGUACCUGGGGGUUGUGAUAAGGUACUUUAGUGACAUCAAGCAGACAAUUGUAUCAACAUUUCUGGGGCUUGUUGAGUUGGAGGGAGGAGAUGCUAAAUCUAUGCCCGUGCUGUUGUGGCCUAAAACUAUGCCCGUGCUUUCCUCGAGAAGUGUUGUCUUAAAAAAGAGAAACUCCUGGGGAUAGGGACUGACAAUGUCUCUGUUAUGAUGGGGAUUAACAAUGCGGUCCAUAAAGUGCUAAAGGAGUAUGGCCUCAAAUAUCUGGUUCUUAUUCGCUGUGUGUGCCACUCUCUGCAGCUUGCUGUAAGUCAUGCUUCCAAUGACACCAUCCCCUGUAGUGUGGAGUACUUGGUACAAGAGACUUAUAACUGGUUUUCAGUGUCUCCAAAGCGCAGGGAGGCUUACAAGGCCAUAUAUGAGACCAUCAACUGUUGGGGGAAACCUUUACAGAUAGCCAAGGUGUGUGCCACACGUUGGCUCUCCAUUGAACCCGCGGUUUCACGCAUUUUGGACCAGUGGGAGGAGCUUAGGCUGCAUUUCGCAGUCACCAAGUCCAGUAAGCACUGCAACAUGGCUGAGGUUUUAUACUCCAUGUACAGUGAUCCUCAAAACAUAUUGGAUCUGACUUUUUUGAAGUCCGUGCUGGGUGAGGUACAGUUGGCCAUCAAGGCUUUUGAGGGAGAGCUAGUAGAUCCUCUUAAGCAACUUGACAGCUUGGUUAGCCUGAUCAAGUCUGUGAGCAGCAGGGUGCUGAAUCCACUGACAAAUGUUGAUGUACUCAAAGGGCCAAUAGAUGGAUACAUCAGUCCCAAACCGUACCUUGGUUACCUUUUUGAGUCUGAGGCAGCUGAACUCCACCUUGCGCCUGAGGAUGAAACAAUGUCCAAAAGCGGCGAGUAGACUGCCGGACAAUAUCGAAGCAUUGCAGUACAUGUCAGUUUUCAAUGUGGAGGAAACUCUAAAGCACAAUAAGAGCCCUGGAGAAAUAGAAAAAAAUAGCCAAGCUCCUUAGCUACUCCCCUACAGAGAUAGACAAGAUUGUCCAGCAAUGGCGUGCCAUCCAUCUUAGUAAAUGGAAUGAGACAAAAACACACUGGGCUUCUGGAGUGAGAUUUGGAAGUUCAGGGAUGCAGCUGAUAUCAACCCGUUUCAAGAACUUGCCAUGGCUGCUGUGUCUGUGUUGUCAUUGCCACAGUCGAAUGCUGAAGUCGAGAGAGUAUUCAGCCAGAUGAGUGGUAAAAAGCAAACUUAGAAAUCGGAUGUCCUUGCAGACCCUUAACUCCAUCCUGUACAUUCGAUAUGGACAGAAGCUGUCUGGUGAGGCUUGCUAUGAGCACCAGCUGCCUGAUAAUGUUUUGCAGUUUUUUGGCACAUCAGCUGCUUACUCAUUUAAGUCAGCUCCCUCAGUUGCUGAACCUGCCAUAGAAAGCCCUGACAAAUGACGAUGGCCCACUCUUUCUGUGAGCCAGCACAGCCUGUGUAUGGAGGGGGUAUGGAGAAGAAAAGAAACUGAAUUAGGGCCAGACUAGUUACCAUAAUUUUCUCACAUUGCCAUUGACAGUUUUUUAUAUAGUCUCUUUUUGGUCCAUUUAGAUUGUUAUUGUAGAUUGUAUACGAAAACAUUUAAAAAAUUGUCAUCAGAGAGCACACAAUGUUUCAAUAUAUCCCUUUUUGCCUAAAGGUCAGUAUCCUGUCUAGCAUGCCAGAAGUUUGAGAAGGCAAAGACUGGCACCGGAGUUGAAGCCCAUCAAAGUUGUUUCAACAUGGCACAUGAUCGGGUGGACCUCAUCAGACCCUUCACGAAAUCCAGGAAUGGCAUCAGCUGGUGUCUGACGGUGACCGAUCACUUUACCAAGUGGGUGGAGGCGAUACCCAUUAAGGACGAGACUAGCGAGGCCACCUCCAAGGCGAUGGUGGACUAUCUUCAACACCCACGGUUCUCCUGAGGUCAUGACUUCGGUCUCCUGACUGAGGUCAUGAACGGUGGAACAAGGUUUGGUAAAUGGACCAACCAGACCCUCAAGACUGCCAUGGGAAAGCCCCUUGAUACCAGGAAGGGUGGGAGAACAACCUGAAGGUAAUUCUCUUUGCACACAACAGCAGCAUCUACGCCGAGUACGGACGGGAGCCGCAGUUGUUGACUGAGGUAAACAAUGCAAUUGUAUAUACAAUUAUUGCAUAUACUGUAGUAUUUCAAAUUUGUGAUUGACUUAGUGUUGUUGUUUGUCUAUUGCUAUUUUUGUAUAACGAUCUUUCAGACCACUGAAACCCCACCUGAAGUGGGGGAAGUUGUCGAACCAGAUCAGAAGGCCUUCGAGGACCACCUUCAGGCACGGACUGAGAAGGAAGUGGAGGUUUUUGACCAGCAGCUAGAGGUUCUGCCCAACACCCAGACGUGGACCAACCUGAUGUCCCCCAUUACCAACCAUCCUCCAACUUUUCUUUACAUCGUCUACACUGUUGUUGUCAUUAUCUGCUAAGAAAGUUUCCUUGCUCUAUCAUACUGGACACAUAAUAGGUGAGAUACACAGAUGAACUAAAAACACUAGCACUGUAAACACACAGAACAAAGAGAGCAGCAGUGCCUGGACUUUGCCGUCUCCCUCUUCAAGUCCCCCUUCUGAGACUGGCUGCCUGUUGAGAACAAGUGACUGACAGACAAUUCCACACACCAGAAUUCAGUAUUUUAGUCUAUGAUUGCCAUGUAAGUGUACAGAUAAUCUGUGAAAAUAAAUG